Molecule: ribosomal RNA, 501 nt
Filed under: uncultured bacterium
Lineage: Bacteria
Description: partial 16S ribosomal RNA
Rfam family: Bacterial small subunit ribosomal RNA
Source: RNAcentral
AUUGAACGCUGGCGGCAUGCCUUACACAUGCAAGUCGAACGGCAGCACGGGUGCUUGCACCUGGUGGCGAGUGGCGAACGGGUGAGUAAUACAUCGGAACAUACCUUAUCGUGGGGGAUAACGCAGCGAAAGCUGUGCUAAUACCGCAUACGCCCUGAGGGGGAAAGCGGGGGAUCGAAAGACCUCGCGCGAUUAGAGCGGCCGAUGCCUGAUUAGCUUGUUGGUGGGGUAAAAGCCCACCAAGGCGACGAUCAGUCGCUGGUCUGAGAGGACGAUCAGCCACACUGGGACUGAGACACGGCCCAGACUCCUACGGGAGGCAGCAGUGGGGAAUUUUGGACAAUGGGGGCAACCCUGAUCCAGCAAUGCCGCGUGAGUGAAGAAGGCCUUCGGGUUGUAAAGCUCUUUUGUCAGGGAAGAAACACCGGCUCUAACACAGUCCGGGAAUGACGGUACCUGAAGAAUAAGCACCGGCUAACUACGUGCCAGCAGCCGCAGUAA